ACACUUACCUGGACGGGGUCGAUGGGCGAUCAUAAAGGCUCAUGGCCUAGGUAGGUGGCAUCCAUUGCACUUGAGGAGCGGUGCCCGCCUAACAUCUUCCCAAAGUGUACGUCAUAAUUUGUGCUAGUGGAGUCUGCAUUCGCGCAACCCCUAU
Non-coding RNA from Beta vulgaris subsp. vulgaris (sugar beet), 154 nucleotides. NCBI's taxonomy places the organism in Eukaryota, Viridiplantae, Streptophyta, Magnoliopsida, Caryophyllales, Amaranthaceae. The record is from Rfam.